UUGGUUUGUUAUUCUUUCGAAUAAAGUUUUAAUAAGUUCGUUAUCAAAUGGUUUUUUUUAUUCCAAAAGGAAUAGACAAUGGUCUGAAACGUGAGCUGACGGUGUUACGGUCAACCACGGAAAAAAUGUUUUAUGGUACGCGGGUCGGUUUUGGAUUUCUUGGUUGAGGUUGUUACGCCUCGACCAAUACGUCCAAGAAAAGGGUGUGGUAAUGAUCCUUCCGCAGGUUCACCUACGGAAA
Molecule: unclassified non-coding RNA, 241 nt
Filed under: uncultured fungus
Lineage: Eukaryota; Fungi
Description: sequence contains ITS1
Source: RNAcentral